This 1357-nucleotide long non-coding RNA is filed under the name Bos mutus (wild yak). RNAcentral's name for it is "lncRNA (ENSBMUG00000009018.1)". Lineage: Eukaryota; Metazoa; Chordata; Mammalia; Artiodactyla; Bovidae. The record is from RNAcentral.
UGCCCGUGAAGGGGACUCAAACUCCCCAGACAUUGGGCCAUGGUGAUGCUGGGGGUGGAGGGCGUGCUGACAUGCUGAUGACAGGUACAUGCCAGGGUGACCCCUGCUCACGGUCUGGCAGGCUGGGAGAAGGGAGUGGGGGGGGGAGCCCUCCUGUUUGUGGAGGAGAUGGGGAGGGGCUGAGGCCAGGAGAGCAUAGCAACCCACAGCCCCUCACCCCCUCUGUCCUUCAUCCUUCAGUUCUCUCAGUGAGAGGCUCUGGGGAGAGAUCUGGGGGUGCACACCUUUCCUACCCGUAAGUACAUGCGCACACAAUGAAUUUCAGUUCCCCAAGCCCUGCCCUUUCACUUCUCUUGGCUCCCCUCCCUGCUGCCUUGCAGGUUGUCAGCUUUGGAAGCAGAGGCCCAAGUCACCCCUGCUCAGAGAGCCUGGGGGGGAUAAAUGGAAGCCACCCACCCAGUAGCCAAGGAUCAGCUGAGCCCUGGGGCUAAUGCUUGCUCACACUGUUGAGAAUGGCACUGCGGCCCAGCCAGGCACCGGGACAAAGGUUAACCCGGGACACUCGUGGCCAGUGAUCCUGAUGUCUAUUCAGAGCCGCGCACUCAAGGGUGUGAUAAAUUGUUUUCUCAGUCUUGCCCAUGCUCUCUGCUGUACUCCGCCCCGAGUUUUCUUUGCCGGGCUGUCCCAUCUUUGUGUCACAGUCCUGUUUGUCAGCAGGAGAAAGAAGCAACAUCUCACGAGCUGCUGGUUCCUCUUGAUGCCAUUCUGACUGGGGCAGAACAGGAGUGUGAGCUGCCAUCCCGGCUGACGACACUGCCUCACAUCCCCGUCCCUGUCCUCACCCCUGCCUUCUGGCCCGGCCAGGACUUCCAGCUUUCCCCAUUCAUCUUCCGUGGACCAAUCUUGGCACAACCUCUCAGACGUGGCCUGACCUCACCUAGGUAUGCAUUUUUCUCCCGCCCCCAACCUACCUGUAUUCUUCCAGGCAUGGAAGAGUCUAAAAAUGGAAUCCAGGUCUUGGGCUCACCCUGUUCUCUCUCCACCACCAUCCUCUUACCCUUUGACAGCUACUCCUUUAAUCUUGCUUCUGCUCCCUAGGGUUUGGGGGGGUCCAUCUCUUCCAUGUCACCUGCUUCAGGGUGGGGGUGGGGGCUGCAGCCUCUGAUGUGUAACUGGCCAGGAAGCCAUUCUUGGCUGCCACAAAAGAUGAGACCAAGAGGCAACGAGAGCAGGGUCUUAAAAUCAGCAUCAAGAUGGGGACUGAGCUGAGUGAUGUCUCCACCAGUUACAUGAGGCUGCUGAAGGACACAUCUGAAGAAGCCCCUUCCUUGGGGCUGUCCUGUGGGACAGAGGGGCC